CGGUGGAGUAUGUGGUUAAUUCGAUGCAACGCGAAGAACCUUACCUGGUCUUGACAUCCCGGAGACCCUUAGGAAACUAGGGGUGCUUCCAUCUGGAAGAAUCUGGAGACAGGUGCUGCAUGGCUGUCGCCAGCUCGUGUCGUGAGAUGUUGGGUUAAGUCCCGCAACGAGCGCAACCCUUGCCUUUAGUUGCCAGCAGUUCGGCUGGGCACUCUAAAGGGACUGCCGGUGUUAAACCGGAGGAAGGUGGGGAUGACGUCAAGUCCUCAUGGCCUUUAUGACCAGGGCUACACACGUACUACAAUGGCCGAUACAAAGGGCAGCGACACUGCGAGGUGAAGCCAAUCCCGUAAAAUCGGUCUCAGUCCGGAUUGGAGUCUGCAACUCGACUCCAUGAAGUUGGAAUCGCUAGUAAUCGUGGAUCAGCAUGCCACGGUGAAUACGUUCCCGGGCCUU
RNAcentral lists this ribosomal RNA (456 nucleotides) under uncultured Desulfobulbus sp. RNAcentral's name for it is "bacterial SSU rRNA". It matches the Rfam family "Bacterial small subunit ribosomal RNA", at positions 930 to 1382 of the family's 1533-position model. Lineage: Bacteria; Pseudomonadati; Thermodesulfobacteriota; Desulfobulbia; Desulfobulbales; Desulfobulbaceae. The record is from RNAcentral.